AUGGAUCCUAUUUUUAUGGAACACAACUAUCCAUUAUCUUUUUUAAUUCUAAAAUAAAUUUACUUAUUUUUUUAAAAAAACCUCUCGCAAGCGCGGAAACGCGUGCAGAGAGACUAGUAUAUAUAAAGCAAAAGACAGAGAAUAGUAAAACAUUCAAAAUACCAUAAAAUGCCCUUUGUUAAUUCAAACAUUAAGAAUUGAAAUUAUUAAUUAAAUGAGGAUAAUAUGGUAAAUUCACAUUUUUUA
This 246-nucleotide long non-coding RNA is filed under the name Prunus persica (peach). Its description in RNAcentral is "long non-coding RNA (PPER_LNC001155)". Lineage: Eukaryota; Viridiplantae; Streptophyta; Magnoliopsida; Rosales; Rosaceae. The record is from RNAcentral.